This 395-nucleotide ribosomal RNA is filed under the name uncultured bacterium. RNAcentral describes it as "bacterial SSU rRNA". It matches the Rfam family "Bacterial small subunit ribosomal RNA", at positions 505 to 898 of the family's 1533-position model. The record is from RNAcentral.
GUGUCAGCAGCCGCGGUAAUACGUAGGUGGCGAGCGUUGUCCGGAAUUACUGGGCGUAAAGGAUGCGUAGGCGGAAGAUUAAGUCAGAUGUGAAAUCCCUGGGCUCAACCCGGGAAUUGCAUUUGAAACUGGUUUUCUAGAGUGCAGGAGAGGAAAGCGGAAUUCCUAGUGUAGCGGUGAAAUGCGUAGAUAUUAGGAAGAACACCAGUGGCGAAGGCGGCUUUCUGGACUGUAACUGACGCUGAGGCAUGAAAGCGUGGGGAGCAAACAGGAUUAGAUACCCUGGUAGUCCACGCUGUAAACGAUGAGUGCUAGGUGUAGGAGGUAUCGACACCUUCUGUGCCGCAGUAAACGCAAUAAGCACUCCGCCUGGGGAGUACGGUCGCAAGACUAAA